UACGGAGGAUGCGAGCGUUAUCCGGAUUUAUUGGGUUUAAAGGGUGCGUAGGCGGCGAGUUAAGUCAGCGGUAAAAGCCCGGGGCUCAACCCCGGCCCGCCGUUGAAACUGGCUGGCUUGAGUUGGGGAAAGGCAGGCGGAAUGCGCGGUGUAGCGGUGAAAUGCAUAGAUAUCGCGCAGAACCCCGAUUGCGAAGGCAGCCUGCCGGCCCCACACUGACGCUGAGGCACGAAAGCGUGGGUAUCGAACAGG
Molecule: ribosomal RNA, 252 nt
Filed under: uncultured bacterium
Lineage: Bacteria
Description: partial 16S ribosomal RNA
Rfam family: Bacterial small subunit ribosomal RNA
Source: RNAcentral